RNAcentral lists this transfer RNA (71 nucleotides) under Negombata magnifica. RNAcentral describes it as "transfer RNA-Met (CAU)". It matches the Rfam family "tRNA". From Rfam's summary of the family: Transfer RNA (tRNA) molecules are approximately 80 nucleotides in length. Their secondary structure includes four short double-helical elements and three loops (D, anti-codon, and T loops). Lineage: Eukaryota; Metazoa; Porifera; Demospongiae; Poecilosclerida; Latrunculiidae. The record is from RNAcentral.
GGUAGAGUAGACUUAAGGUAGGUUAUUGGGUUCAUAGUCCAAGUGAAUAGGUUCAAUUCCUGUCUUUACCA